This 429-nucleotide ribosomal RNA is filed under the name Gemmatimonadota bacterium. Its description in RNAcentral is "Gemmatimonadetes bacterium partial 16S ribosomal RNA". It matches the Rfam family "Bacterial small subunit ribosomal RNA", at positions 355 to 776 of the family's 1533-position model. Lineage: Bacteria; Pseudomonadati; Gemmatimonadota. The record is from RNAcentral.
UAGGGAAUCUUCGACAAUGGACGAAAGUCUGACCGAGCAACGCCGCGUGAGUGAAGAAGGUUUUCGGAUCGUAAAACUCUGUUGUUAGAGAAGAACAAGGACGUUAGUAACUGAACGUCCCCUGACGGUAUCUAACCAGAAAGCCACGGCUAACUACGUGCCAGCAGCCGCGGUAAUACGUAGGUGGCAAGCGUUGUCCGGAUUUAUUGGGCGUAAAGCGAGCGCAGGCGGUUUCUUAAGUCUGAUGUGAAAGCCCCCGGCUCAACCGGGGAGGGUAAUUGGAAACUGGGAGACGUGAGUGCAGAAGAGGAGAGUGGAAGUCCAUGUGUAGCGGUGAAAUGCGUAGAUAUAUGGAGGAACACCAGUGGCGAAGGCGGCGCUCUGGUCUGUAACUGACGCUGAGGCUCGAAAGCGUGGGGAGCAAACAGG